UACAAACAUUAAAGUCUUUAUAAUUUUAAAUAUGUAAUAAACAUAAUCAUCAAUCAAGUUUUUUGAAACAAACUAAUAAAACCAACAUCGUAAAAUAUAAAACAAACAUUAUCAAAAUAUAUAAUUAAACAUCUUCAAGUCUCUAAUCAAUCAAACAUAGAACAUAAUCUAAAUUAUAACUUAUUAUCUUCAAUUAUCAUCUUAAAUUACAAAAAAAAAACAAUGGGCCCACCGGGGAAGCUUCUCCUGCCUCGUCGAAACACGCCAAAGCCUGAAAAUUAGGCGGUGCGGGUUAGGCAGGCUUUUUAAUUAUGGUGGUUUCAAAUUUUUAGCCCAACCCGCCUUUAUGGCGAGUUACGUAGGCUAGCCCGGCGGGUUUCGACCCGUUUGCCACCCUUACAUGCUGCUAGUUGUAAUUUUAUUGAUCGUAAAUGUCGGAGCUUCAUCUAGAGAGAAACGAAACAUACUAGAAAAGUUCAUCUUGUCAAUUGGCGGACAGUGAGCAAGCCCAGGCCUUCGGGUGUACUAGGCAUUCGUCAUGCCAAGAAUAUGAACCAAGCUUUUAUGAUGAAAGUGCGCUAGGGGUUGAUUGAGAAAAAGGACUCCCUCUGGUAAAAAUUUCUGAGGGCUAAGUAUAGAUGUGGUAGUGACAUAAUUUCUCUCAUCAAUAGGAGGCAAAGAGUCUACUUUGUGGAAAGGCAUUUGCUCUUCGUGGAAAAACGCCCAAGCUAAUUCCAUCUAACACAUAUGAAAUGGGUCCAAAAUCAAGUUUUGGGACCAUAAUUGGGUACUGGAGUUUCGAGGCUUGAAUUGGCUUAACUCUUAGGUAAGUUCUGUUUUAGAUUCAGGAUCAUUCCUAACGGAUUUUCUUACUUUUUCAGGAGGAUGGGAUGUGGAAAAACUAAAGGACUGGCUUCCUGAGGAGGCAGUCCAAAAGAUUGUAGCCAUGUCACCGUCGUCUCCGUGGAAGGAAUGUGGUCAUAUUAUGUGAGCUAAGUCUUCUAACGGCACCUUCUCAAUGAAAACAACCUACAAUUCCCUGCAAGAACACCCGAGAGGCCAGAAUCGCAUAUUUAACCUUGUCUGGAAAUGGAGAGAUCCGAAAAGAAUCCAGUAUUUUUUGUGGUUAGUUGUGCAUGAUGCUAUAGUUAUCAAUGCAGAAAGGAGUAUAAGACACAUGUCUCAGACCUCCAUUUGUCCCCUUUGUUAGCAAACAAUUGAAAUAAUGCUGCAUGUUCUUUGUGACUGUCCUUUUGCAAGAUCGACCUAGAAUUUACUUCAAUCCCAAAACAGUAUCAGUAAUUUCUCUUCCCUUUAGCGUAAUGACUGGAUUUCUUGUAACCUUUUGAUACCUGGUGAGUGUUUGGUGCAUUUUGGGGUUGCAUUAUCUGCACUAUAGUAUGCGAGAAAUCAGUUUGUGUUUGAAAGAAAGUCUUCUAAUCCUAGAGGAGUUAUAGAGUCUAUCAAAAAUAGGGGCCACGAGUUUAAAACAGUAAUGAAGGCUAACAUUUCUCCAACGUAGUACAGUAAGGACAAUGAGCAGCUCAUCUGGUGGUACCCUCUUCUUGAAGGCUUCCUAAAAAUUAAUGUUGAUGUGGAUUUUUUUUCAAUCAAACUAGUAAUGCAGCUUGUGGCGGCAUAAUUCGCGAUCAUUUAGAAGGUUCAUCAAAAGUUUCUCGUGCAAUUUGGGAGGAUGAUAGAUCAUGCAAGUUGAACUUUAGGGCAUUAUUAAAGGCCUUCAUAUUGCACUUGCAAAUGAUAUUCAGAAUGUGAUUGUUGAAUCUGACUCAAAAAUGGCAAUUCAAUUCAUCGUCAAGGGUUGCCCAGUAUAGCAUUCCUGUGCAACUCUCAUUGAAGACAUUGUCAUUUUGGUGAAAGGAUAUCUCAGGUCCGUUGGAAUCACACUCUCCAUGAAGCAAACUCGGUGGCUGACUGUUUGGCGGAGAAAGGUCAAGAACUCCCCCACAGUCUUCAUUUGUUUGAUGCUCCCCCUCUUGACACAAUACAAACUAUUGAGUUAAUAGUCAAAAUCAUCCCCGAAAAAAACUUCGAUCUCCAUUUUCAUCCCUAAAAAAAUAAAUUAAUCAAAUUUGUCCUCAAAUAUUUUUUUUAAUCACGUUCAUCCCUAUGUUAGUUUCUUGACGCUGUUGUUAACCUGGAACGUGAAGUGAUAGUGCAGCAUAGCAAAUGACAUCGUUUUGCACUCUUCAUCUCUUGAACAAGUGUUCUCAUUCAUUCUUCUUCUCGCACCUCUAACUGAUAGAGAAGCCUCACUGCCGUUGCAUAGUGGUAUCGUCACCUCCGCUGUCGUUGUUCGAAGCCACCCCUGCACGCGAUUCUCGUUGCUCAAUCACUCUCUCAGAUGCCUUCUCCUUUUCUCACUCACACAUCGAGGAAGAAGGUUGCGCCAGGAGCUGGGCUUUGUGACCCAAUUGCCAGGAGCAUCGCUCUCCUCCCUUGCUUCUCUGCUCUAUCGUGACGUCAGUUCAGGGGAGAACGACAUCUAUGGCUAUGGAGUUGAUGGUUAUGGAAUUUCAGUACUGAGGAACAGAAUCAGCAAGGGAGAAGAUGGGUAAUAAGUGAAGGUUUUUGUGUUCACUCUCAAUGGCAGCUACAAGCACCGCUUAUGGAUCGGAAUGGAGUUAGUUGUUUGUGCGCGGCCAGAGUUCGAGCUUGGAACGUCAGCAUUGGAAGAACGGCAAGCUGCAGGAGCCGAUUAUGAAGGAUCAGGGGUGUAGUUAGGUUCCGGGUCGAGUGGGUGUUGAAUGACCCGUUUGCUAGCUAAUGGUGUUUUUGGUCCUCCUUAGCCUAGCACAAUCCAAAAAAAAAAAAAAAAAAACUGAAAUA
Arachis ipaensis is the source of this 2847-nucleotide non-coding RNA. NCBI's taxonomy places the organism in Eukaryota, Viridiplantae, Streptophyta, Magnoliopsida, Fabales, Fabaceae. The record is from RefSeq and is a predicted model, not a curated record.